This is a long non-coding RNA of Dreissena polymorpha, 1197 nucleotides long. RefSeq lists it as uncharacterized. NCBI's taxonomy places the organism in Eukaryota, Metazoa, Mollusca, Bivalvia, Myida, Dreissenidae. The transcript is spliced from 2 exons. The record is from RefSeq and is a predicted model, not a curated record.
GUGUUUUAUCCUGCCUCAGUUGCAAACAUUGACCAAAUAAAGCAGGGUCGGAUAAACUAGUUGAUAUCCGGCAGUACAUCACGUGACCGUGAUCUAACCGUAAGUAUGUAUUCAUACGCGCCGAUUAACAUGUUCUAAUAUUUGACCUUUGAAAUUUAUUGGGACGCAUCAUGAAAGUUAUCGUAAUAUUAUAUAUCAUCAUUUUUAUCUUCUUAAAAAUAUAUUACCGAACCAGACUUCCGUAUUUAUCAUGUUCAUUUACUUGAUUACGCAAUUUAUGACGUAUCUAGUGUGACGUCAUUUCUCUGACAAAACAUACUAUCUAGUUUCUCUCAGGAUUUUAGGGACAACAAUUUUGACGUGGUGGUUUUAACAGUAUUUUUUAAUAUUUUAAAGCAUCGAACGAAUCAUAAAUGUUAACUUCGAUAGGAAUAAAAUAAUUCGCUACGACAGGAUUACGGUUUCGUUAAUCGGGUUUUGGGUCAGAAUGGUUAGCAUUCGAUACAAACGCUAUCAAAAAAGAGUGUGGUUUAAAAUACAUUCCGAUAAUAGAGAUGGAAAAACAGAAAAUGGAUUCCGACAAAGGGAUGGAAGAACAGACAAUGAAUGUGUAUAUCGUUGUACAUUUAUUGUUAUAAGCAAUGGAUUAAAGUUGUCAUUAAGAUCCUUUGAAUCUUGUUGCGAAGAGGCCUUCGGACGGAAAAAGGCCAAGUAUACAUACCUGUAAGAACAGUGCAGAGAGAAGGGACGGCGAGUGUGGCUCUACCCGUGGAAAUCGGUGCUAGAGGAUUCCCCGCACAGUCGCUGUGGAGAAUGUUCAGUGCCUUGGGCAUCAAAGGAGCAGACAGGAAGAGAGCAGUGGGCAAACUGAGCCCAGCAGCAGAAAGUGCAUGCAGUUGGUUGUGGAUGAAGAGAGAGGACAGGACCUGGAAACCUACCAUCAACACGUAGUGUCUGAUCAACACUGCGGGCCCUCCGCCUGGAGAGUAUCCUGUGAUUAAAGGGCCGAUUCACUUGUUGAAAGGCGGUUCUCAGCUGAGAAUGUUGGUGGUACUAAUAUAAACAUAAAUAUUUAUAAACAUAAAUAUUGACAAAGUAACAGUUUGGUAGUACAUAUAUUUAUACAUAAAUCUAUAAUAUGUGUAUUACUGAUAAUAAAUGAGGUUUGACAAUUGGAAUAAAGAAAACAUAAGCGAG